Molecule: ribosomal RNA, 253 nt
Filed under: uncultured bacterium
Lineage: Bacteria
Description: partial 16S ribosomal RNA
Rfam family: Bacterial small subunit ribosomal RNA
Source: RNAcentral
UACGUAGGGGGCAAGCGUUGUCCGGAAUCAUUGGGCGUAAAGCGCGCGUAGGCGGCCAGAUUAGUCCGGUGUGAAAGUCAGGGGCUCAACCUUUGAAUGCCGCUGGAAACUGUCUGGCUUGAGUCCGGAAGGGGCGAGUGGAAUUCCUGGUGUAGCGGUGAAAUGCGCAGAUAUCAGGAGGAACACCAAUGGCGAAGGCAGCUCGCUGGAACGGUACUGACGCUGAGGCGCGAAAGCGUGGGGAGCAAACAGG